This is a long non-coding RNA of Zophobas morio, 587 nucleotides long. RefSeq lists it as uncharacterized. Lineage: Eukaryota; Metazoa; Arthropoda; Insecta; Coleoptera; Tenebrionidae. The record is from RefSeq and is a predicted model, not a curated record. The transcript has 5 exons.
GAAGAUUUUGAAAAUUAUGAAACUCCAGAAAAUUUAAUAUUGUCGACAGUAAGCGGAGAAAAUGUGCAAUCCAGAACUGAAGGCGAACUUUUAACUCCGUGGAUUCGUUUUCUGUGGGAAGCUUAUCGUACUGUACUGGAAAUCUUGAGAGUUUUGCCCAAAUUGGAGUUUCAAUACCAAGAAAUGGCCCGUCGUGCUUUUUCCUUUUGCAAAACUUAUAAUCGAAAAUCUGAGUACCGACGGUUGGCCGAGCUUCUUCGGAAUCGAACGACUGGCCAGAAAUUCGCCAAUCCACAAGCGGCUAUCAACUUGACUUCUCCAGAAGCACUUCAUAUCAACAUGGAAACCCGUUUUUUACAGUUGGAUGUCGCUACUUCAUUGGAGCUUUGGCAAGAAGGUUUUCGCUCAUUGGAGGAUAUUAAGACCCUCAUGGCGGCUUCAACUCGUCCUCCUCACGCUUCCUUAUUGGCUCGUUAUUAUGAAAAACUUGCAAUGAUUCUUUGGCAGUCCAACAACUUUUUGUUUCACGCUUACGCACUCCACAAGUUGUUUUGUCUUACUAAAGAACAGAAGAAAAAUCUUUCAAA